AAUGGACGAAAGUCUGACGGAGCGACGCCGCGUGGAUGAUGAAGGCCGAAAGGUUGUAAAGUUCUUUUACUGGGGAAGAAUAACCGUAGGAGGGAAUGCCUGCGGGAUGACAUGAACCGGUGAAUAAGCCCCGGCCAACUACGUGCCAGCAGCCGCGGUAACACGUAGGGGGCGAGCGUUGUUCGGAAUUACUGGGCGUAAAGGGCAUGUAGGCGGUUUGGUAAGCCUGGCGUGAAAUACUGCAGCUUAACUGCAGGGGUGCGUUGGGAACUGCUGAGCUUGAGUGACGGAGAGGGAGCUAGAAUUCCUGGUGUAGGGGUGAAAUCUGUAGAUAUCAGGAAGAAUACCGAUGGCGAAGGCAAGCUCCUGGCCGAUGACUGACGCUGAGGUGCGAAAGUGUGGGGAUCAAA
Molecule: ribosomal RNA, 410 nt
Filed under: uncultured bacterium
Lineage: Bacteria
Description: bacterial SSU rRNA
Rfam family: Bacterial small subunit ribosomal RNA
Source: RNAcentral